AGCGAACGCUGGCGGCAGGCUUAACACAUGCAAGUCGAGCGGGCAUAGCAAUAUGUCAGCGGCAGACGGGUGAGUAACGCGUGGGAACGUACCUUUUGGUUCGGAACAACACAGGGAAACUUGUGCUAAUACCGGAUAAGCCCUUACGGGGAAAGAUUUAUCGCCGAAAGAUCGGCCCGCGUCUGAUUAGCUAGUUGGUGAGGCAAUGGCUCACCAAGGCGACGAUCAGUAGCUGGUCUGAGAGGAUGAUCAGCCACAUUGGGACUGAGACACGGCCCAAACUCCUACGGGAGGCAGCAGUGGGGAAUAUUGGACAAUGGGCGCAAGCCUGAUCCAGCCAUGCCGCGUGAGUGAUGAAGGCCCUAGGGUUGUAAAGCUCUUUUGUGCGGGAAGGUAAUGACGGUACCGCAAGAAUAAGCCCCGGCUAACUUCGUGCCAGCAGCCGCGGUAAUACGAAGGGGGCUAGCGUUGCUCGGAAUCACUGGGCGUAAAGGGUGCGUAGGCGGGUCUUUAAGUCAGGGGUGAAAUCCUGGAGCUCAACUCCAGAACUGCCUUUGAUACUGAAGAUCUUGAGUUCGGGAGAGGUGAGUGGAACUGCGAGUGUAGAGGUGAAAUUCGUAGAUAUUCGCAAGAACACCAGUGGCGAAGGCGGCUCACUGGCCCGAUACUGACGCUGAGGCACGAAAGCGUGGGGAGCAAACAGG
Molecule: ribosomal RNA, 704 nt
Filed under: uncultured Bradyrhizobiaceae bacterium
Lineage: Bacteria; Pseudomonadati; Pseudomonadota; Alphaproteobacteria; Hyphomicrobiales; Nitrobacteraceae
Description: bacterial SSU rRNA
Rfam family: Bacterial small subunit ribosomal RNA
Source: RNAcentral